UAGCUGGGCAAUGGUCUGAUGAGCUCACAGCCAGGCACUGGCUGAUGCCCAGCUCUC
This 57-nucleotide microRNA precursor is filed under the name Mus pahari (shrew mouse). Its description in RNAcentral is "microRNA 7688 (MGP_PahariEiJ_G0007805.1)". Lineage: Eukaryota; Metazoa; Chordata; Mammalia; Rodentia; Muridae. The record is from RNAcentral.